CCGAACGGAUCGCGUUGACUUCGGUCUGCGACGGAUCAUUCAAGCUUUUCUGACCUAUCAGCUUUCGACGGUACUGUAUUGGACUACCGUGGCAGUGACGGGUAACGGGGAAUUAGGGUUCGAUUCCGGAGAGGGAGCCUGAGAAACGGCUACCACAUCUAAGGAAGGCAGCAGGCGCGCAAAUUACCCAAUCCUGAUUCAGGGAGGUAGUGACAAGAAAUAACAACACUGGAAAUUUCAUUUCUAGUGAUUGGAAUGAUAGGAAUCCAAACCCCUUUCAGAGUAACAAUUGGAGGGCAAGUCUGGUGCCAGCAGCCGCGGUAAUUCCAGCUCCAAUAGCGUAUAUUAAAGUUGUUGCAGUUAAAAAGCUCGUAGUUGGAUUUCUGCUGGAAGCAGCCAGUCCGCCCUCAGGGGUGUGCACUUGGUGAAUUCUAGCAUCCUUCUGGAUUUCUCCACACUUCAUUGUGUGGAGUUUUUUCCAGGACUUUUACUUUGAGAAAAUUAGAGUGUUUCAAGCAGGCUUGUCGCCUUGAAUACUGCAGCAUGGAAUAAUAAGAUAGGAUUUCGGCCCUAUUUUGUUGGUUUCUAGGACUGAAGUAAUGAUUAAUAGGGACGGUUGGGGGCAUUCGUAUUUAACUGUCAGAGGUGAAAUUCUUAGAUUUGUUAAAGACGAACUACUGCGAAAGCAUUUGCCAAAGAUGUUUUCAUUAAUCAAGAACGAAAGUUAGGGGCUCGAAGACGAUCAGAUACCGUCGUAGUCUUAACCAUAAACUAUGCUCGACUAGAGAUAGGAAAACGUCAUGCUUGACUUCUCCUGCACUAAA
This 824-nucleotide ribosomal RNA is filed under the name Hammondia sp. RNAcentral describes it as "SSU rRNA". It matches the Rfam family "Eukaryotic small subunit ribosomal RNA", at positions 260 to 1090 of the family's 1831-position model. The record is from RNAcentral. Lineage: Eukaryota; Apicomplexa; Conoidasida; Eucoccidiorida; Sarcocystidae.